UACAGAGGUCUCAAGCGUUGUUCGGAUUCAUUGGGCGUAAAGGGUGCGUAGGCGGCGCGGUAAGUCGGGUGUGAAAUCCCGGAGCUUAACUCCGAAACUGCAUUCGAUACUGCCGUGCUUGAGGACUGGAGAGGAGACUGGAAUUUACGGUGUAGCGGUGAAAUGCGUAGAUAUCGUAAGGAAGACCAGUGGCGAAGGCGGGUCUCUGGACAGUUCCUGACGCUGAGGCACGAAGGCCAGGGGAGCAAACGGG
RNAcentral lists this ribosomal RNA (253 nucleotides) under uncultured bacterium. RNAcentral's name for it is "partial 16S ribosomal RNA". It matches the Rfam family "Bacterial small subunit ribosomal RNA", at positions 524 to 776 of the family's 1533-position model. The record is from RNAcentral.